AUUGAACGCUGGCGGCAUGCCUUACACAUGCCAGUCGAACGGUAACGGGCCUUCGGGUGCCGACGAGUGGCGAACGGGUGAGUAAUACAUCGGAACGUGCCCGAUCGUGGGGGAUAACGAGGCGAAAGCUUUGCUAAUACCGCAUACGAUCUACGGAUGAAAGCAGGGGACCGCAAGGCCUUGCGCGGACGGAGCGGCCGAUGGCAGAUUAGGUAGUUGGUGGGAUAAAAGCUUACCAAGCCGACGAUCUGUAGCUGGUCUGAGAGGAUGAUCAGCCACACUGGGACUGAGACACGGCCCAGACUCCUACGGGAGGCAGCAGUGGGGAAUUUUGGACAAUGGGCGCAAGCCUGAUCCAGCCAUGCCGCGUGCAGGAUGAAGGCCUUCGGGUUGUAAACUGCUUCUGUACGGAACGAAAAGCCUUCUUUUAAUACAGGAGGGUCAUGACGGUACCGUAAGAAUAAGCACCGGCUAACUACGUGC
This 483-nucleotide ribosomal RNA is filed under the name uncultured bacterium. Its description in RNAcentral is "partial 16S ribosomal RNA". It matches the Rfam family "Bacterial small subunit ribosomal RNA", at positions 30 to 508 of the family's 1533-position model. The record is from RNAcentral.